CGUUCCCGGGUCUUGUACACACCGCCCGUCACACCAUGGGAGCGGGUUCUGCCAGAAGUAGGUAGCCUAACCGUAAGGAGGGCGCUUACCACGGCGGGGUUCGUGACUGGGGUG
RNAcentral lists this ribosomal RNA (114 nucleotides) under uncultured bacterium. RNAcentral's name for it is "partial 16S ribosomal RNA". It matches the Rfam family "Bacterial small subunit ribosomal RNA", at positions 1369 to 1482 of the family's 1533-position model. The record is from RNAcentral.